RNAcentral lists this transfer RNA (87 nucleotides) under Mediterraneibacter gnavus. Its description in RNAcentral is "[Ruminococcus] gnavus tRNA-Leu". It matches the Rfam family "tRNA". From Rfam's summary of the family: Transfer RNA (tRNA) molecules are approximately 80 nucleotides in length. The record is from RNAcentral. Lineage: Bacteria; Bacillati; Bacillota; Clostridia; Lachnospirales; Lachnospiraceae.
GCGGAAGUGGCGGAAUGGCAGACGCGCUAGAUUCAGGUUCUAGUGGGAGUUAAUCCUGUGAGAGUUCAAGUCUCUUCUUCCGCACUA